This is a long non-coding RNA of Clupea harengus (Atlantic herring), 361 nucleotides long. The record is from Ensembl. Lineage: Eukaryota; Metazoa; Chordata; Actinopteri; Clupeiformes; Clupeidae.
CCAGAGUCCCGUCCUCUCCUGCUGCCUCUGCUGGUGUCUGCUCUGACUGUCAGUCUGGUCGUCAUUCUAACACUGAUGCUGGCCCUGAUCAGAGUCACAAAGAGAACAUUUGCUGCAGAGGUGAUAUCACCACAGCACAUCAGCCAAAUGAUUCAUUCUGAAGAGGACCCUGAGGCUGUGAACUACGUGGCCCUGGACUUCACAGCACACAGGCCAAGAGCAGGUGGACAGCACGGCAAUGCAGAGAAGGGCACUGUAUACUCCCCUCUCAGACACACAAAUGCACGCACACACACAAACACACAAACACACACACACACACAUAAGCCGUCCUGAGUAGGAUGAAAAGCCAGCAACACAG